Molecule: ribosomal RNA, 496 nt
Filed under: uncultured bacterium
Lineage: Bacteria
Description: partial 16S ribosomal RNA
Rfam family: Bacterial small subunit ribosomal RNA
Source: RNAcentral
GAUGAACGCUAGCGGCAGGCCUAAUACAUGCAAGUCGAGGGGUAGAAGAGGCUUGCUUCUUUGAGACCGGCGCACGGGUGCGCAACGCGUAUGCAACCUACCUUCAUCUGGGGGAUAGCCCGGAGAAAUCCGGAUUAAUACCGCAUAAAAUCACAGGAUGGCAUUAUCCAAUGAUCAAACAUUUAUGGGAUGGAGAUGGGCAUGCGUGUCAUUAGCUAGUUGGCGGGGUAAGGGCCCACCAAGGCGACCAUGACUAGGGGUGCUGAGAGGAUGGCCCCCCACACUGGUACUGAGACACGCACCAGACUCCUACGGGAGGCAGCAGUAAGGAAUAUUGGUCAAUGGAGGCAACUCUGAACCAGCCAUGCCGCGUGCAGGAAGACUGCCCUGUGGGUUGUAAACUGCUUUUAUUCGGGAAUAAACCUUAUUACGUGUAAUAAGCUGAAUGUACCGAAGGAAUAAGGAUCGGCUAACUCCGUGCCAGCCGCCGCGGUAA